GGCGCCGUAGCCAAGUGGUUAGGCAGCGGAUUGCAAAUCCGUCGACAGCGGUUCGAAUCCGCUCGGCGCCUCCA
Molecule: transfer RNA, 74 nt
Filed under: Pseudobdellovibrionaceae bacterium
Lineage: Bacteria; Pseudomonadati; Bdellovibrionota; Bdellovibrionia; Bdellovibrionales; Pseudobdellovibrionaceae
Description: Bdellovibrionaceae bacterium tRNA-Cys
Rfam family: tRNA
About the family: Transfer RNA (tRNA) molecules are approximately 80 nucleotides in length. Their secondary structure includes four short double-helical elements and three loops (D, anti-codon, and T loops). Further hydrogen bonds mediate the characteristic L-shaped molecular structure. tRNAs have two regions of fundamental functional importance: the anti-codon, which is responsible for specific mRNA codon recognition, and the 3' end, to which the tRNAs corresponding amino acid is attached (by aminoacyl-tRNA synthetases). tRNAs cope with the degeneracy of the genetic code in two manners: having more than one tRNA (with a specific anti-codon) for a particular amino acid; and 'wobble' base-pairing, i.e. permitting non-standard base-pairing at the 3rd anti-codon position.
Source: RNAcentral